ACUCAAAGGAAUAGACGGGGACCCACACAAGCGGUGGAGCAUGGGGUUUAAUUCGAUAGUAACCGAAGAACCUCACCUAGGCUUGACAUCUAGCGAACCUCCCAGAAACGGGAGGGUGCCGCAAGGAACGCUAAGACAGGCGCUGCACGGUUGUCGUCAGCUCGUGCCUUGAGGUGUACUGUUAAGUCAGCGAACGAGCGCAACCCUCAUCCUGUGUUGUUUUUUCACGGGAGACUGCCGCCUCCAAGGCGGAGGAAGGUGGGGAUGACGUCAAAUCAGCGUGGCCCUUAUGCCUAGGGCAACACCCGUGCUACAAUGGCCGGUACAAACCGCCGCAAAUCCGCAAGGAAGAGCCAAUCGGAAAAAACCGGUCUCAGUUCGGAUUGGAGUCUGCAACUCGACUCCAUGAAGUUGGAAUCGCUAGUAAACGUGAAUCAGCUAUGUCACGUUGAAUAUGUUCCUGGGUCUUGUACACACCGCCCGU
RNAcentral lists this ribosomal RNA (484 nucleotides) under uncultured bacterium. RNAcentral's name for it is "partial 16S ribosomal RNA". It matches the Rfam family "Bacterial small subunit ribosomal RNA", at positions 899 to 1397 of the family's 1533-position model. The record is from RNAcentral.